This is a long non-coding RNA of Pogona vitticeps (central bearded dragon), 2877 nucleotides long. The record is from Ensembl. Lineage: Eukaryota; Metazoa; Chordata; Lepidosauria; Squamata; Agamidae.
CCGGUAGUUAGGGCUAUAGAGCUAACGGCCGAGAUCGUCUGGGAAUUGAAGGGCAAACGACCGGGAGAUAGGAGAGCACUCUUUGAAGACUGGAAAGAUCAUCCUACAGAGGAGGUUCAGGAUCUGGAAGGGUUUCAGCCAGCCCAAUCAGUACUCAAUUAAGCCACUAAAUACUUCAUCUCUCUUUCUCUCUCUCUCUUUUCUCUACCUUCUCUCUGACGAGACAUGAACGUUGGUUUUAUUUUUGCCGUCCGGGCAGUACAGCAGAUGGUUCUGACGGAAUGUCGCUCCCUGAGCUCUUUCCUGGAAAUCAUAUUAGCUUUUGGGAAAAACUUCUGGGCUUUGGAGCUCUUCCUGGAGUCUCUGGCUAAGCACAGGAAAGUCCUGAGCACCGUCCUCACCUUGAUUUGCGAUGACCUCCGCUGUGGUCAAGUGGAAAUGUUGAAACUGUGGGGACGCUUGGGCCCCGAAUACGUGGGGGAACUGCUGUGCCUAUUCUUGACAUCCGUGUAUAAAGAUGUUGGCCUCACCAUCAUCCGUAUUCUUCAGGCAAACUUUAAGCAGUGCCUCUGGGCAAAGUAUGUGGGCGAGUUUCUUCAAAACCGCAAAAAACUGCGAAACCGCCGGCUAGACGAGGUCUCCACCUUCAUUCAGCUUACACAGAUGCUUCCUGAAACCCGCCAGCCGGACACUUCUUCCACGGUUUGCCAGCCUGGCCCUGCUUCCGAGAGCGCACCCCCUUGCUCCUGAGAAGGGUGCCCCUCUGCCGUUGGCACGCUGCUGAGUCUCGCGUCGCUCUGGGCGGCUUUUCCAGGAGACGCGGAGCCUGAGACGGAGUCUUAAGGGCUUCCUGUUUCUCUUCUCGCCCUACCUGCCUACCUCAAAGCCUCCUUCGUUCUGACCCCUUGCAGGCAUCAGGGAAUUCAGAAGAACCUGUUAUGGCUUGGUUAUCGUGUUCUCUUUUUGCACAAGGAUGUGCAGUGUUUGUACCGACGACGACGGACCUCCGUCGCCUCCCUGAUCCUUUGUGCGCCCCGUAUCGUUUUGUAUGAAAAUAAGUUCAGUUCUCUUCCACACUCAGCAUGAGAGCCACCCUUGAAAGAGAAAGUUGCUGAUCUUCGUUAGACUCCCCCCCCCGCCCUAAUAUUUCCCAGGACUGCCAAUCUGCGCGAAUCAGAAAAAAGUUCAUGUCAGCUAAUCUUUUCGUUUCAAGUCUGUUGGGAUUUCUUCUGAUGUUGUCUUCUCCCAUUUAUGGGUUUCUCAACUUGAGACCAAAAGCCCGCUCAGUUUGGUCAGAAGUGUCUUAAAAAAAAAGGCAUUGGGAACUCCUCCCCCCUCCCCGAGUUGAGUUUGUAUUUUACAACUUGAAAAUGAGUCUGAAGUUUCUUGUAAAUGCGGGCAUAUUUUUGUUAGCACUUUUUCAAUGCUUCUGAUAGAGUUAACAUGAAACAGGCAUAUUUUCGUGUUGCAGAAUGCCAAGAUGUUUGUAAUACGUUUCUUAGUAUUAAAUGCAAGAUUUCCUUGGUUUGUACUUUUUAAAGUUACGGUUACUGAACCAUGGAGUCAUGAAACAUGAGGGUACAUUUCUAGAGGUUACCACAAAACCACGACUGAGGGCUUGGGCUUCCUCUCUGGAGCUGAAUCUUACGACUAGCCUUAUGCUUAUGGGGAUUAAUCUAACUUCUUCCCUACAUGCUCCUUUGUGCCAUAAAUAUUCAGGAAGAGGCUGGGCAGAACAGGCCCUACUGCUUGCUUUUACCUCCAGCAGAAUACGGAGUGGAGAGUAUGUAGAUAUCUGUAGUCUUCUUAUGUGGGAGUUCGAGGGGGAGGUUGGGGAACGGGCACGUAGGCACAAAGUCAGAGCAGUCCUGGUUGAAUCGAGUCCCUGUAUUUUUGUAUUUAUGCAAGGAUCUUUGCUAAGGCCCAGCUUUGGCAAGCCUCGUCUUUCAUACAGUGUUGGAUCUACAAGGCCCAGAUAGACUUUCCCGGGCGUGUGGCUUCUUCACGAUGAAGAAUGCAUGCUGCAAUUUACACACACACACCCGUGUGAGUUGGGAUGAGCGGCACCCCCGUCUGUGGUUAUAGCUGAUGAUGCCAAUCAGACCCAUGCUGGGGGAACGUUUUGGUAGAGGGCACCGUGUCCGGUGAACGGAUCAGACCUCCAUAUCCUGCGCUUUCGCAGGGCAGUUGUUUCCACCUUGACCGCUGUGUUUGGAAUUCGGUGGCCAGGGUGUCUGCAGGAAUACGGAGAAUGCCGAAUAAGCCCUCCUUUUGCUCUCCUGAAAGCAGCGCAGUGGCUAACGGAUAAAUCUGAGACUGAAGGUAGAUUGCGAGGGAAGGGCCUCCCUUGAAAUAUGAGUGGGCAGCUGAGUCAAGUUUUCUUUCCUGGCACAGGAGGGUGGGUUGGAUCUAAGAAACUCUUCUUGUCAUUCUGUGCCUCCCCCCACCCUUUCCCAGUCAUUGGAGAGUCUGCUCUGCUAGACUGCAUAAGCAAUGGGCUGAAGGAAGUGGAGCAGAAAUAAUAGAGAUAUGGACUACAAUCCCCAUUAUUCGUAGCCGGCAUGGCUAAUGGCGAGGGACGAUGAGCAGCGUAGUCCAGUAACAGCUAGAGGGGACCAACCCUGAAGUUCGGACGGUCUCGGAUGCAGGUGGAGUCAUAGUAGAAGGAAGUCCCACCUUCGGAUGUGGAGGGAAUUAAAAUAUCCCCUGCCCCAAGCCAAAAUCAAAAAGGUGGCAAGAGGUGCCGUCCAUUUAGCGUGUGCCUUCUCCUUAGCUCUGAGUUUGAAUCGGCAAAACAGGAAGUGGCAGAAUCUCGAAACCAGGUUUUCUUCAAAAACGAGCAAAAUAAAAGGCGAAAGAAUAACCUGGCUAGGAGCA